Molecule: long non-coding RNA, 1229 nt
Filed under: Panax ginseng (ginseng)
Lineage: Eukaryota; Viridiplantae; Streptophyta; Magnoliopsida; Apiales; Araliaceae
Description: long non-coding RNA (PGIN_LNC003388)
Source: RNAcentral
CCCAAAUUACAGUAUUUACUCCAUCUUGGAUAAAAGUUUACAACAAACUAUACUAGUUUAAUCAAUCCAAAUGACAAUAUUUACUCCAUCUACAAUAUAAUAAGAAGAUUAAAAUCAAUAACCAAGAACAAACAAGUGCAGUAAUAAAUUUUAUUCUUCGCAUUUUGCCUAUUGCACACAUUUUCUCCAUCUCUUGCUCCAUCCCGUUAAUCUUUCGAAGUAAUCCAAGGAUUAUUUGUUUUGAUCUGUCACACAUUGGAGGAGCAUACCAAGCAAAAAAUUGACAAGCAUUCCUCUGUAAACAAAGAAGACAUCAAUUUUAUGUCCAAGUAAAUAGAAUGGAAGAGAUAUAAAAAAUAAUUGAAACCCUAACCCACUAACUUUUCCAUAAUUCGGACAUGAUAAAAACCUUCUUCUUGGGUUUGAAUCGGUCCAUGAUGUUUUAGUUGAUUUUCUCGAUGUUAUGUUACUGAAUUAAAAAAAGCAUAUGAUAAAGAUAAGCAAUUCACAAAAACUACUACAUAACGAUAAAGUAUUGAUUUAGAAAAGUUGCACAUAGAAUAAUUGAAAUGCAGUUCAUAUGACCAAUAGUAGACUAAACACAUCUCUUUUGGCAAAUUCUCCAAAGAGAAUUUCUGCAUCAUCAACACCAUCAAUACUAGAAUACAUUUUCAAAACUGAAUUGUGUACAGACUGAUUAAUCAAAAGCCCAUUUUUAAAAACAUUUGAAAGAAGUUGUCUUCCUCCAUAAACAUAAUCACAACACCCCUGCAACAUGAUCAUCACCGCCACGUAAUUGGGUUCAAACAUGCAUUGAUUAAUAUAAAAGCACCUAAAACAUUUCUUUCACAAACAUAACUAGAAAUCAUUGAUGUCCAAGAAACCAAAUCUAUGUUAGGCAUUUCAUCAAACACUUGACAAGCAUAACCAAAAACCCCACCUUUCACAUAAACAUCAAUCUUCGUGUUGCAAAUAUAUAUAUAUAUAUAUAUAUAUAUAUAUAUAUAUAUAUAUAACCUUUGUAUUACCUUGCUGAUCAAACUACUAGCUAGCUAGUACUUAAAAUAGUUAUUUUGCGUAAUGGUAUGAUUCAUAUAUAUUAUACUUCCUCCAAGUUGGCUGUAGAAUUUACACUCGCAUGAAAUACAGCCAGCCCAGUCGGUUCUAUUUUUCAUAAAAUAGAGCCAGCCCAGUUACUUUAUUAAGGCAUGUUUGCAGUAGUACACUAG